Orbicella faveolata is the source of this 205-nucleotide long non-coding RNA. The record is from RefSeq and is a predicted model, not a curated record. NCBI's taxonomy places the organism in Eukaryota, Metazoa, Cnidaria, Anthozoa, Scleractinia, Merulinidae.
UUGAAGAAUUAAACAAAGUUUAAUGUAAAUCGAUGUGAUACAAAGUGAAAUUCUCAUAUCCAUCUGAUUAGAAAACUUAAAACACCAAAGAGAAUUUUGAGACAGAUGUUGGGCCAAAAGAAAGAGGAGACUUACAAACUGAAUUGUUUCUUGGUUAGAUUACCGAAGGAAGAGUUUUUUUGAUAGAGUGAGGAAACAGGCAAAA